AGUGAACGCUGGCGGUAGGCCUAACACAUGCAAGUCGAACGGCAGCACAUUAAGAGCUUGCUCUUACGGGUGGCGAGUGGAGGACGGGUGAGGAAUACAUCGGAAUCUACUUUUUCGUGGGGGAUAACGUAGGGAACGUUACGCUAAUACCGCCUUCUACUUACGGGUGAAAGCAGGGGAUCUUCGGCCCUUGCGGGAUUCAAUGAGCCGAUGUCGGAUUAGCUAGUUGGCGGGGUAAAGGCCCACCAAGGCGACGAUCCAUAGCUGGUCUGAGAGGUUGAUCGGCCAAACUGGAACUGAGACACGGUCCAGACUCCUACGGGAGGCAGCAGUGGGGAAUAUUGGACAAUGGGCGCAAUCCGGAUCCAGCCAUCCCGCGUGGGUGAAGAAGGCCUUCGGGUUGUAAAGCCCUUUUGUUGGGAAAGAAAAGCAGCAGGUUAAUACCCCGCUGUUCUGACGGUACCCAAAGAAUAAGCACCGGCUAACUUCGUG
Molecule: ribosomal RNA, 492 nt
Filed under: uncultured bacterium
Lineage: Bacteria
Description: partial 16S ribosomal RNA
Rfam family: Bacterial small subunit ribosomal RNA
Source: RNAcentral